GAUGAACGCUGGCGGCGUGCCUAAUACAUGCAAGUCGAGCGAACAGACGAGGAGCUUGCCUCUCUGCCGCUAGCGGCGGACGGGUGAUUACCAGGUGGCUAACCGACCUUUGAGGCUGGGAUAAGUUCGGGAACCCGGAUACAACACAGGUUAUUAUAUUGAACGGGAGGGUUCAUCGGUGAAAGCGGGUUUUGAUGACCCUUGUAGAUAGUACCGCGUCGCAUUAGCUAGUUGGUAGGGUAACGGCUUACCAAGGCUACGAUGCGUAGCCGACCUGAGAGGGUGAUCAGCCACACUGGAACUGAGACACGGUCCAGACUCCUACGGGAGGCAGCAGUGGGGAAUCUUCCACAAUGGGCGAAAGCUUGACGGAGCAACGCCGCGUGUGUGAUGAAGGUCUUCGGAUCGUAAAACUCUGUUAGUAGGGAAGAACAACAGUAAGUGAAACUAUGCACGUCUUGACGUUACCUAAACAGAAAGCCACGGCUAACUACGUG
Molecule: ribosomal RNA, 497 nt
Filed under: uncultured bacterium
Lineage: Bacteria
Description: partial 16S ribosomal RNA
Rfam family: Bacterial small subunit ribosomal RNA
Source: RNAcentral